Molecule: ribosomal RNA, 253 nt
Filed under: uncultured bacterium
Lineage: Bacteria
Description: partial 16S ribosomal RNA
Rfam family: Bacterial small subunit ribosomal RNA
Source: RNAcentral
UACGUAGGGUGCAAGCGUUGUCCGGAAUUAUUGGGCGUAAAGAGCUCGUAGGCGGUCUGUCGCGUCGGAUGUGAAAACCCGGGGCUUAACCCCGGGCCUGCAUUCGAUACGGGCAGACUCGAGUGUGGUAGGGGAGACUGGAACUCCUGGUGUAGCGGUGAAAUGCGCAGAUAUCAGGAAGAACACCGGUGGCGAAGGCAGCUCGCUGGGACGGUACUGACGCUGAGACGCGAAAGCGUGGGGAGCAAACAGG